Daphnia pulicaria is the source of this 3776-nucleotide RNA transcript. It is a transcript of the gene named DNA topoisomerase 2-binding protein 1-like, with no coding region annotated. The transcript is spliced from 5 exons. Lineage: Eukaryota; Metazoa; Arthropoda; Branchiopoda; Diplostraca; Daphniidae. The record is from RefSeq and is a predicted model, not a curated record.
GUUGGUGGCUAUAGCAACGAGUCGUAAUAAUUCGGCUGCUCUGCUGUCUAAAAUCAGUUGACACGUGCAUGUCAGGGCGAUUGAGUGACGACAGCCUUCCUAAUAUUUUGUCAUCUUAAAGCGACAGGCGAGUCCUGAAAAGCACCAGCUCCCGAAGCCAAGCAUCUGCAUCCUAUUUACAAGAACCUCUUCACUCUAAGCAGCUUCUCUAAGGAGCCUACGCCUGAGCUUGUAUCGAUGGCAACGGGGGAUUCCCAAGACGACGUGCAGUACGUACGGACUCUCAGUAAGCAGAGCACCGCCAAAAAUGUCACAACUGAAGAAAACAACAAUUGCCCUGAAGAAAAAGACCUGCAAACGAUCUUCGAAAACUUGACUACAGCUGACGAAACAGAAAUGGAAGAAGAUGUGUCAGUAUUGUUGAAAUUUCGUCCUGUCGAUGCCCUAUUUUCCGAUGUCACUUUUCAACUCGUUGGUUCCAUGGAUGCGGAUUUGAUCUCUUGGACGACAUAUCUCAUUGAAAGUAACGGAGGUCGCGUGUUGGCAAACGACGCCAAAUACAAGGUUACUACACCCGUCGUCCAUGCCGAAUUGCUCCCAGACGAUCCAGUUGGGCAAGCUGUUGUGAUCAACACAUUUUGGAUCGAGGACUGCAUCGAUGAGGAUUGUCUAGUGGAAAUUGAAAUCUAUCAUCAACCAAUCAAAUUCCAGAACAGUCAAAUAUUUGCAGGAUGUGUGGUGUCGUUCAGUGGGAUUCAAGGUCGACUGAGCGAUUUCCUUCAGUACUUGGUCGAUCAUCUUGGAGGCAAACAACAACAGUUCUUCUCUCGCAAAAUGGUCGAAGCUAAAGACGUUUACCCUUCCACACAUCUUGUAUGCCCCAAAGCUGAAGGAAGGAAAUAUGAAAAAGCCGUCAAGUGGGGAGUCCCUGUCGUUAACGCUGAAUGGAUUUUUGCAUCCGCCACUUCUAGUACUCGACUGAAGGAAACAGAUUUCGGGAUCUUUCGACCACCUGGUGAUCGUGAUGAAACACUCUCAGCUCCUACUUCAUUUUCGUCAAUUACUUUUGAUGCCCCCACGCCUGUUCAAAUGGGGCAACCAACGAUUCCUGUGAUACUUCCUGUCCUGACUGACUCGGCUUCAGAGGGCUUUUUACUGCAGACAUCAAAUGCCGGAUCCAUCACCAAAUACUCGAAAACUGUGGAAACAUGCAGUGGAUAACCGCGUCCGUUUGACGCCCAGAACCGAAGAUUCACCGACCACUACGUCACCAAUCAAGAGUGAAAGAGAAACUUUGGUUUCCCUCGCCGAGGAUUAUUUUGCAAAUCUAACUGAAAAAAUUUUAAACUGCAAUUGGGAAGUUACAGAUGAGGUGACAAACGCAGAAGCUUCGCCUUUGCCGGAUCCGAAUCUUCCUCCGUUACACGAGGCGAGGAUUUUUAUUGGCCAGGAGAUCGAAGAAGACAGACGACUCGAGAUGGAGGAAUUCAUCAGGAUUUUGGGCGGCCAAGUUAUUCUCCAGCACUCCCAGGAAGUAACUCAUUUCAUAUGUCAGGGCGAGUUGACCCCUUCCGAAGAUAUGCAGAAUGCCAGAAAAUGGAAUCAACUGUUCGUCUUGCCUCAGUGGAUCGUAGACUGCGAAUAUGCUGGAUGUCGUUUGCGUGCUGCAACUUGCUAUCAACCGUCCCUAAACUUUGAAACAGCUUUAUUACCAGAUGUUGCGCCCGUCUCUUCCGGUCCCCUGGAAACAACACAUGAACUGCAAAGCCUUCCCAACAGUCUAGCUGAAGAAGAAAAACCCUUGCAGGCCGAGCAAGUUCUCCCUCGUCCAACUCAGGAGAUUUCCUUGCCAAACGAUCCAGUAGCUAGCCAGUUGGAAAAUGUUCCUGUACGUUUGGCACCACCACCGUGUUCACCAGAUGCAGUUAGCCGGAUAUCACAAAGGCCAAAUGCAUCGAAGAGACUAAACGAGUCGAAGAGGCUAAAUGCUUCACGGUACAGUGGCCAUUCUUUCCGGAUCAUGUUCUCCGGUAUGUCACAAGAAGAUCGGGACAGCUGUGUUCAAAUAAUCGAAGUGCUAGGCGGGAUUGCCAUCGAUGGCAAACAUUACGAUUCAACAUGCACUCACCUUGUAGUAGCAAAACUUGAGUGUAACGACAAGCUGAUGACAUCUAUCGCUGCUGGAAAAUGGAUUGUUCAUCCUGGAUGGAUCGCAAAGAGCGAGCAGACUCAUCACUUUGUUGAUGAGCGAAUAUUCGAGUGGGGCAAUCCUACGUCCAAUGAUUCCAUUUCCAAAGAGGAAGCCAGUAUUGCCGCCGCUGCUUAUUACUGGCGCACUAUUCGAAACCGUGGCCUUUCUACCGGCCCUUUCCAAGGCAUUAAGGCCGUACUUUACCUCCGCAAGAAGAACGAUGCCUUCCAGCAGUUGAUUGAAGCCGGCGGAGGAGAAGUGAUUGCUCCCGAAUUGGCUUUGGAGAAUGGAAAGACCAACCUCUGUGUCCUGGAUAGUCGUGAAAUCAACAAAAUUAAACUUCGUUUAUACGCCAGUAAAGGUAUCUAUUGCGUCCCACCCAAUUAUCUCAGGGACUUGAUCCUCGCCAAAGACAAGAAGUGUAAGUGGGCGGAAUGUGUUUUGCCAGAAUUUCUCCCCUUUUUAGACACCAUUCCUUCAACCCACAUUUAGUUAUUCUAUUGUCGUUAUCUGUUCCUAUAGCUGAUUUAUCUCGAAAUAGUGUCUUAACUUGUUCUUUAGCGUCAGCAAUAAUUAUUGAACCAGGUUGCGGUUUUUGAUUGGGUUACAAAAGACUUUUAACGAAUGUUUGUUGAGAAAAUUGCAUGCUGUUUGUUUUUUUAAGAAAAGAAAGUGAUGGGAACAAUUAUGUAGAUUCUCAAAAUAAUCCUCCGCGAGGGAAUCCGAAAUUUCUCUUUCAUUCUUGAUUGGUGACGUAGUGGUCGGUGAAUCAUCCAUUCUGGGCGUCAAACGGACGCAAAUCCAAUGCAUGUUUCCACAGUUUUCGAGCCGUUUGUAUUUUUUGUUCGGUUGCAGAGUAGUGAUGGAGUACGGUAGCUUGUGAUUUCUUUUCAUUUUCAAAGAAUGGCUUGUGCUAUAUAGUUGUUAAUUCUACGUAGAAUAUUUAUGUGAUGUUUAUUUCUUUUACGGUGACUUAACUACUUUCUGUCAAAUUUGCAUUAGUAAUGAGUUUAACAUCCCAUAAUCCCCUAUCGCACUGCCAGGAAAGAAAUUUGGGUAAUGGAUUAUUUACCGUAACGGCGUAUUGGGAAACGCGCAACCCAAGGAGCUGUGACUUUGUUAGCAUUUAUUUAUGUUUUUGCAGCGUCUGAUUAUGAGUUGGGCGUUGGAUUAUUUUACAUAAUAGUGAAAACCAAAUCCAUUUUGCCUUCCAGUUCCAGGUUUCUUUUGCACUUUGAAUUCUAAAUAAAGCAAUCUACCCGUUCGCAAAUUCCCCAUUCAUCAGGCAUUUAUUUGUUUACGAUUCUAUCAUAAUUAUUGCAGUUGGUCUUCACUAUAGUCAACUAGUAGCAUUUAUUCAUUAAACUGGUGUUACUUUGUUUAGAAAUUGGUUCAGAAACAGGCAUUGCUUAUAUAUUACCUUACAUUAAAUUAUUUAAAUUACGUUUAUUCUCGCCAAAAUGUGCCUAAUGAUUAAGAAUCACGAUAUGCAUCAGUAAACUUGUAGAUGCAUGAGAUUGUUGAAUUAAAAAUUGAUUUAGUCGUCUGACACAAUUUUUGCAAAAAUAAACUAACGCCUUCUGUU